UCUUUUUGUUAACUAUCGACUUUUUCGCUUAUCUGAAAGAUGAGAAAAGUUUUUUUUUUUUUUUUUUUUUUUUGAGAGAAAGGUAGCAUGCUACCCGCUUCAUUCAUAUAGUAGGUGAAUUAAGCUACAUGGGUGAGGCAAAGAUGAGAAAAGUUGAUUGAAAAGACAGUUCGUAGCAGUUUAAGUUUUUACAGAAAUAUGGUUGUUUUAAUUGUACUGUCUCGAAACAACAAAUCCAGAUUGAGGUCAUCUCUUUACUUCAAAUUCACAGACUCGGCUUAUAGUCAAAAUCAAUUCUCCACAUGAGAAAAAGUGUUAAGUAUAUAAUAAGAUAUUUUUGAUAAAAAAAAU
RNAcentral lists this long non-coding RNA (351 nucleotides) under Ananas comosus (pineapple). RNAcentral's name for it is "long non-coding RNA (ACOM_LNC031858)". The record is from RNAcentral. Lineage: Eukaryota; Viridiplantae; Streptophyta; Magnoliopsida; Poales; Bromeliaceae.